CUUUCUAGCAGGCCGUGGGAGCAGCCUCAGAUCUGGCGGAGUAAGCAGGCCACCAAAAUACCCAGCGUACGUCUGGAAAAACGGUGACUCCCAGACAUGUCCGCCAGACCUGGACAGGCAGGACCAUGCUGGUGAGAACUUGUGGGCUGCAGCUGGAGACUGUCUCUCAGGUGGCUCACGCCUGUAAUCCCAGCACGUGGGGAGGCCAGGGCAGGAUCACUUGAGCUCAGGAGUUUGAGACCAGCCUGGGCAACAUAGUGAGACCCUGGCUCUACUAAAAAUUGAAAAAUGAGCUGGGUGUGGUGGUGCUCACCUUGUAGUCCCAGCUAUGCGGGGGAGACUGAGGUGGGAGGAUCACUUGAGCCUAGGAGUUCCAGGCUGCAGUGAGCUGUGAUGGUGCCACUGCACUCCAGCCUGCACAACAGAGAGAGACCCUACCUUCUCCCACCCAAAGGGAAGGGGGUGUGUCUUGUUUUCACGCCACCCUUCUGCUCUCCCUACAUCGUUCCCCACCAGGCUGCUGGUCAGCGCCUCCCAGGAUGGGAAGCUCAUCAUCUGGGACAGCUACACCACCAACAAGGUCCACGCCAUCCCGCUGCGCUCCUCCUGGGUAAUGACCUGUGCCUACGCGCCCUCAGGGAACUUUGUGGCCUGUGGGGGGUUGGACAACAUCUGCUCCAUCUACAGCCUCAAGACCCGCGAGGGCAACGUCAGGGUCAGCCGGGAGCUGCCUGGCCACACUGGGUACCUGUCGUGUUGCCGCUUCCUGGAUGACAACCAAAUCAUCACCAGCUCUGGGGAUACCACCUGUGCCCUGUGGGACAUUGAGACAGGCCAGCAGACAGUGGGUUUUGCUGGACACAGUGGGGAUGUGAUGUCCCUGUCCCUGGCCCCCGAUGGCCGCACGUUUGUGUCAGGCGCCUGUGAUGCCUCUAUCAAGCUGUGGGACGUGCGGGAUUCCAUGUGCCGACAGACCUUCAUCGGCCAUGAAUCCGACAUCAAUGCAGUGGCUUUCUUCCCCAACGGCUACGCCUUCACCACCGGCUCUGACGACGCCACAUGCCGCCUCUUCGACCUGCGGGCCGAUCAGGAGCUCCUCAUGUACUCCCAUGACAACAUCAUCUGUGGCAUCACCUCUGUUGCCUUCUCACGCAGCGGCCGGCUGCUGCUCGCUGGCUACGACGACUUCAACUGCAACAUCUGGGAUGCCAUGAAGGGCGACCGUGCAGGUGACAGCUGGGGCCCAGGCUGGGUGGGCGGGGACCUGGAGCCCAGGCCCAAUGGGUUCUGACUUCUCCCUUCUUCACAGGAGUCCUCGCUGGCCACGACAACCGCGUGAGCUGCCUCGGGGUCACCGACGAUGGCAUGGCUGUGGCCACGGGCUCCUGGGACUCCUUCCUCAAGAUCUGGAACUAAUGGCCCCACCCCCACUGGGCCCAGGCCGGGAGGGGCCCUGCCCAUGCCCACACUACAGGCCAGGGCUGCGGGGCUGGCGCAAUCCCAGCCCCCUUCCCCGGGCCACGGGGCCUUGGGUCCCUGCCCUCCCACCCAGGUUUGGUUCCUCCCGGGGCCCCCACUGUGGAGAUAAGAAGGGGAUGGAAUGGGGGAAGAGGAGGAGCAGGAGGCCCUCAUCCUUCUGCUGCCCUGGGGUUGGGGCCUCACCCCUCUGGACGGCCAGAGGCAGGAGGUGGAAACCCCAGGGGCUGGCUUUUUUAAAACUGGUUUUAUUUUAAUUUUUAUUAUAUUUUCAGUUUUUCCAUAAAGGAGCCAAUUCCAACUCUG
RNAcentral lists this small RNA (1782 nucleotides) under Pan troglodytes (chimpanzee). RNAcentral's name for it is "retained intron". Lineage: Eukaryota; Metazoa; Chordata; Mammalia; Primates; Hominidae. The record is from RNAcentral.